RNAcentral lists this ribosomal RNA (253 nucleotides) under uncultured bacterium. RNAcentral describes it as "partial 16S ribosomal RNA". It matches the Rfam family "Bacterial small subunit ribosomal RNA", at positions 524 to 776 of the family's 1533-position model. The record is from RNAcentral.
UACGUAGGUGGCAAGCGUUGUCCGGAUUUAUUGGGUUUAAAGGGUGCGUAGGCGGUUAAUUAAGUCAGUGGUGAAAUACGUCAGCUUAACUGGCGAGGUGCCAAUGAUACUGAUUGACUUGAGUACUGUUGAGGUAGGCGGAAUGGACGGUGUAGCGGUGAAAUGCUUAGAUAUCGUCCAGAACACCGAUAGCGAAGGCAGCUUACUAAAGAGUAACUGACGCUGAGGCACGAAAGUGUGGGGAUCAAACAGG